AAAAAAAAAAAAUUUGUGCACUUGUUUUGUUGGCGUUUUCAUGGCUUCCUCCAGUGGAACAUCUUCAGGGUCAAGUUUGAUGCAGAACUCAGGUUCUGAAGAGGCAUUGAUGGAUCAAAGGAAGAGGAAGAGGAUGAUCUCAAAUCGAGAAUCAGCAAGGAGGUCUCGGAUGAGAAAGCAAAAGCAUUUGGAUGAUCUAAUGGCACAAGUGGCUCAGCUGAGUAAGGAGAACCACCAGCUUAUCACAAGCAUCAAUAUCACCACUCAGCAGUACCUGAACGUAGAGGCUGAUAACUCUAUACUCAAUGCUCAAAUUGGUGAGCUUAGCCACAGAUUGCAGUCUUUGAAUGAAAUCAUUUCCUUCCUGAGUGCAAAUAAUGGUCUUUAUGGAGAUUCAAGCACUUUCAAUGAGCCAGCUGAUAGCUUCUUCAACCCACUGAACAUGCCAUAUCUGAAUCAGCCUAUAAUGGCCUCUGCAGAUAUUUUUCAAUACUAGCUAAGACCCAUCUCCAGAUUAUUGCGACUGCUGUGGAUGAAUGGAAAAGAGAGAGAGAGAGAGUGAGAAGAGAGAGAAAAUCUGCCCUUGUAGCUUUUAAAGCUUAAGAAACAUUACUGGAUAGUGGUUAAAAAUUAAGUAAUAAUAAUAAUAAGGGAUAUGUAGAAGAACCAAGGAUGUGAUUAGUGGUCUGUAAAUGUGGUUUGCUAUAGUAUUAUCAUGGUUCAAGGGCAGUUGAUGAUGUUGUAGUUUUCUGCUGUUAUCAAUUAAUGU
This 769-nucleotide unclassified non-coding RNA is filed under the name Hevea brasiliensis (rubber tree). Lineage: Eukaryota; Viridiplantae; Streptophyta; Magnoliopsida; Malpighiales; Euphorbiaceae. The record is from RNAcentral.